UGCUAAGCAGGGACGGUUAGAGUUCAAAUUGCGUAGCUAGUAAUAAGACAAUAAAAUAAGAAUGAAUAUUAGCUGUAAAUGUUGUUUCUCUUAUUUGCAGAAACUCAAGGCAGUUAUAUUUCCAAGACAUCAUCCCUAUAAGAACCAUAUAGAAUAUACCUUAUAUAUAUAUGUGUGUGUGUAUUAUAUAGUUGACGAAUAAAUCUGACAAUGGGAUUAAUAUUA
RNAcentral lists this long non-coding RNA (225 nucleotides) under Polistes fuscatus (common paper wasp). Its description in RNAcentral is "uncharacterized LOC122525473". Lineage: Eukaryota; Metazoa; Arthropoda; Insecta; Hymenoptera; Vespidae. The record is from RNAcentral.